Molecule: ribosomal RNA, 488 nt
Filed under: uncultured bacterium
Lineage: Bacteria
Description: partial 16S ribosomal RNA
Rfam family: Bacterial small subunit ribosomal RNA
Source: RNAcentral
GACGAACGCUGGCGGCGUGCUUAACACAUGCAAGUCGAACGCGCCUGUCCUCUGGGUUUCUGGGGGGUGGGUGAGUGGCGAGCGGGUGAGUCACACGUGAGUAACCUGCCCCCUUCUUCGGGAUAACGGCCUGAAAGGGCUGCUAAUACCGGGUAUUCACUGGUCUCCGCAUGGGGUCGGGUGGAAAGGUUUUUUUCUGGUGGGGGAUGGGCUCGCGGCCUAUCAGCUUGUUGGUGGGGUGAUGGCCCACCAAGGCUUUGACGGGUAGCCGGCCUGAGAGGGGGACCGGUCACAUUGGGACUGAGAUACGGCCCAGGAUCCUACGGGAGGCAGCAGGGGGGAAUAUUGCACAAUGGGCGCAAGCCUGAUGCAGCGACGGCGGGUGAGGGAUGGAGGGCGUCGGGUUGUGAACCUCUUUCGCCCGUGGUCAAGCCGCGACGUGGGUCGUGGUGAGGGUAGUGGGUAAAGAAGCGCCGGCUAACUACGUG